UCCUUGGUGGUCUAGUGGUUAAGACUCAGCACUCUCACUGCUGCAGCUGGAGUUUGAUCCCUGGUCUGGGAA
Molecule: transfer RNA, 72 nt
Filed under: Sus scrofa (pig)
Lineage: Eukaryota; Metazoa; Chordata; Mammalia; Artiodactyla; Suidae
Rfam family: tRNA
About the family: Transfer RNA (tRNA) molecules are approximately 80 nucleotides in length. Their secondary structure includes four short double-helical elements and three loops (D, anti-codon, and T loops). Further hydrogen bonds mediate the characteristic L-shaped molecular structure. tRNAs have two regions of fundamental functional importance: the anti-codon, which is responsible for specific mRNA codon recognition, and the 3' end, to which the tRNAs corresponding amino acid is attached (by aminoacyl-tRNA synthetases). tRNAs cope with the degeneracy of the genetic code in two manners: having more than one tRNA (with a specific anti-codon) for a particular amino acid; and 'wobble' base-pairing, i.e. permitting non-standard base-pairing at the 3rd anti-codon position.
Source: Rfam by way of RNAcentral